AGGUGAAAUUUGAUAGUUGUGUGAGAAUUAUUUUUUCUUGGAGUGUUUUUGAAGUCAUGAAGGUUUAGAGAUAAAAUAAGAUUAGAUACCUUAGUAUACUAGACUUUAAAUUAUAUACUAGAUUAAUAAUUAGUUAUUAUCUAUAAAAUUAAAAGAUUUGGCGGUGUAAUAGUCUCGUUAGAGGAACCUGUUCUGUAAACGAUGUGCCACGAAUUAUCUUACUUUACUUUGUUAUAUUUUUGCAGUUUGUAUACCGUCAUUAUGAAGUAAUUUUUAUAGAAGUUUAGUGAGACUAACUGGUUGUGUGUGAUUCGCAAUCAAUUUAAUAUUUUAGAUCAAGGUGCAGCUGAUGGUAAAGAGAGAAAUGGGUUACAAUUAUUUAAGGUAAAUUAUGAAUUCGUUUUUUAAAAGGGCGAUGAAGGUGGAUUUAAUUGUAAUAGAAUUAUAAUAAGUUUUUAUGAUAGUGGCUCUGUUAUGUGUA
RNAcentral lists this ribosomal RNA (481 nucleotides) under Saron marmoratus. RNAcentral describes it as "12S ribosomal RNA". Lineage: Eukaryota; Metazoa; Arthropoda; Malacostraca; Decapoda; Hippolytidae. The record is from RNAcentral.